Diospyros lotus (date-plum) is the source of this 336-nucleotide long non-coding RNA. RefSeq lists it as uncharacterized. The transcript has 2 exons. Lineage: Eukaryota; Viridiplantae; Streptophyta; Magnoliopsida; Ericales; Ebenaceae. The record is from RefSeq and is a predicted model, not a curated record.
GUCUUCGUGACCGUCGCCGCCAUUUUGAUGGACGGUCGUGUAGAGGCGGGGAGGAUUCUGCCGGAGGAUUUUGCCGGCGCAAGCGGCCACCUCGCCACCAUCACCAGUUGGCUGGAAAGGUUAGCGUCGGGGCCCAGCCCCAAAGGUCCGGGCCACUGAAUGAUCUAUUUCGGGUACACUUUGAAGGGCCCGCCCGGCAUGCCAUCCAGUAGCCACCCACGACAACCAUUCAAUUAAUUUAUUAGUUUGUUAUAGAUGUUCAAGCGGCGAAGCCCAAUUGUAUGUAUAUGAAUAGGCAAGAAUAUAAAUAUUCUUUGAUUUGUUUGACAUGAGAAA